Long non-coding RNA from Spinacia oleracea (spinach), 1424 nucleotides. RefSeq lists it as uncharacterized. Lineage: Eukaryota; Viridiplantae; Streptophyta; Magnoliopsida; Caryophyllales; Amaranthaceae. The record is from RefSeq and is a predicted model, not a curated record. The transcript has 2 exons.
ACCUAGUAUUUAAAAAAGAAAACCAGAAAUGACAAGUGUCACCCUCCUCUUCCUCCUUUAAAAAAUUAAAAAUCUAUAGCUUUUACACAUGUCACGCUGAAUUUUUCGUGAGCAAAACAAAUGACCAUCUGCUUACCGUCUCCCAAUUGAUUUGUUGUGCAAUAACCUUUAAAUUCAAUGCUUAAUUUCCCCCCUUUCAUAUUCUACCGUUCAAUGAAAAUGGGGAGCCUUCAAGUUUAAUACCUUGCUCAAUUUAAUUUAAUGCUUAAUUCACCCCUUUCAUAUUCUAUUAACCGUCUUCAACCAUUCAAUUAUAGAUUUAUAGCCUUUUAAUUUAAUGCUUAAUGAAAGAGAUGAAAUAGAAUGGUGUGAGUAUAAUAAGUUGUUUUUUUAAACUAAAUAUAUAAAUAGCCCUUUCAGAGAUGAAAUAGAAAUAGUAUGAGUAUGAGUAUAAUAAGUUAUCUUCUAAUUGUAUCUUCUUUACAUUAAUCUUGGUUGCUAUUAUCUUGAUACUCUUUUGUUUUCAUGGAAUUGAUCCGAAUAUAUUGAUGCGGCAUUUUGGUUUGAAAAUCUGAAACUGCAUCCUCUACUAUUAAUCUUGUGAGUAUUAUCUAUUAUUUGGAUUUUGCAUUUGAUAUUACUGAAAUUUCAAGACUUAGAGUUUGAUUGAAUUUUGCAUUUUUGCGAUGAAUCCCAAAUAUUGAAGGUUUCUCUCAUUGUUUUAUAAUUAUUUGCAUCCUUUGCUUCAUUAGUUGUUCAUUGUAACAGUGAAGAGUUUCAUGUUCUUGGAUUAACAGUCUGAAGACAUAUAUCUCCCACCUGUUAAGCAGCCAAAUGCGAUCUUCCCUAAGCUAGCUUGAUUGCAAAAUGCAAUCUAUUAGUGUGUCUUGUAGCAUUCUCAUGCUAGGCAUUUGACAAUCGAAGUGGAAAGUUAAAGAGAAUAUAUAUAGCCAUACAAGAUGUCAAAGAUAAAUUUGAUAAAUUUGGGAGGGGAGAAGAGAUAUUGCCACACCCGUAUUGUACAACAUCAGUAGUUCUUAUGAUAAUGGGAAAUGAGGAUCAUUUCACCCAUCUUUAGAAUUUUGGUGUGGUAAUUUCCAUGUUCCGCGGAAGGUCGACAAUGAUUUGAUUGAUAUGCGGCACGAAUCUCCGUCGUAUGAGGUGGUUUUCAAUCGGUUGUGGCGACGACUACCGGAAUGGUUCAUAAGCGUGAUGUUGCUAUUCUUCAUGAACUUUGGUUUUAUUGAUGUUUUAAAUUAUUUUGUUUUUCAAAGCUUUGUGAACCAAUUGAUCAACCGAUUUCUAAACAGGUUAUACAUAGAAAAGAAUUUGAAAAAUAAGGAAAUUAUUGUAUUAUGAUGUUACCGAAUUUAUGGAUUUUACUGAGUAUGCUGGAAUUAUAUGAAUUCUCUACUAUGGCAUCA